This 577-nucleotide ribosomal RNA is filed under the name uncultured bacterium. RNAcentral's name for it is "bacterial SSU rRNA". It matches the Rfam family "Bacterial small subunit ribosomal RNA", at positions 623 to 1212 of the family's 1533-position model. The record is from RNAcentral.
CCGUUCAAUACUGCGGAGCUCGAGGGCAGAAGAGGGGGGUGGAAUUGCUGGUGUAGUGGUGAAAUGCGUAGAUAUCAGCAGGAACACCUGUGGCGAAAGCGGCCCCCUGGUCUGCUCCUGACACUCAGACGCGAAAGCUAGGGGAGUGAACGGGAUUAGAAACCCCGGUAAUCCUAGCCGUAAACGAUGGAUGCUAGGUGUGGGUGGUAUUGACCCCAUCCGUGCCGAAGCCAACGCGUUGAGCAUCCCGCCUGGGGACUACGGCCGCAAGGUUAAAACUCAAAGGAAUUGACGGGGACCCGCACAAGCAGCGGAGCGUGUGGUUUAAUUCGAUGCUACACGAAGAACCUUACCCAGGUUUGACAUGCAGGUAGUAGUGAAGCGAAAGCGGAACGAUCCCUCGGGAAGCCUGCACAGGUGCUGCAUGGCUGUCGUCAGCUCGUGCCGUGAGGUGUUUGGUUAAGUCCACUAACGAGCGCAACCCCUGUCGUCAGUUACAUGUGUCUGGCGAGACUGCCGGUCUUAAACCGGAGGAAGGUGGGGAUGACGUCAAGUCAGCAUGGCCUUUAUAUCUGGG